AAACCCUCGCCCACUCUAACCAAAUCCUUAACAGACCUACCAGACAAGGGAUGAAAAUGAGCAGCCCACUCUAAUACAAAACCUUUAAUUGGAUGUAAGUUUAUUUGAUUUCGCUCUUUCAUACAAAUUCCUGUUCGAUUUUGCUUUGAUUUUGCUCUUUCAUUCUUUGAUUUUACUUUUUUGUCUUUCUUUCUUCAUGCAUGUGGCUUUUAAGUUUAUUUUCUCUGUUAAUUUGUGUUUUUUCUUUACUGAUUUUUUUCUCUUUCUUUCAUCUUGAUGUUUUUUGAUUCUCAACAGAAAGUAGCAGAAAUUUGGUAGAAUCGGUGUAUUUUGAAGAAGGAUAUAACACUCUUUGUUGAAAUCGAGAUGUAAGUCCUCUUUAUCCUUUUGCAUUAGGUAUUAUAUGUUCUAAAAUUUACAUUACCUAUUUGAAGUGCAGUAACUACUGCAUUUGAGCCUGUGUUGAAUUCAAGUGGUUGUAGUUUCUUUUGAAUUGCUAUCUUAGUCGCAUCUGUAGAGCUGUUUAUUCUGCAAAUAUGCUAAUUUUGACAAGAAGUAUCAUAUAAUAGCCUAAUCUCUAGUCACCUUAGUGAUUUCUGGAGCACCUCUUAUUCCUCUUAUCCCAGGUUACUGACUACCCAAUGGGGAGCCUUUUAUAAUUAAUUUGUUGUUUAUCUUUGAUAGUUUAGUUUGUAUAUUUCCUUCUUUUUCUUGUAAGAAUUAUGUAUUCGCUAGUUGGUAUUUGCAAGAUCCUUUUUAUUAUUGAAGUGGUUUUUGGUAUUCGAUAGUGUUCCACUGGGAAUUUCACCGGAUCAAUGAAUUUCUUAUGUUGAUUACCGCUUUAAAGAAAAGACACAUGUAUUUAUUUCAAUGCUUCGAUUAGUUUGUGUAAUUAUAUAUUUGUUUGUAUAAGAGGUUGAACCUUCAGAGGUUCCAUAAGAGGUUGCUUCGUGCCUAUUAUUAUUCUAUAAAAAGAGGCUGUAUCUAACUAAAAUGGAAGUUGUUCUACAAAUAAAAGAGCUACAAACAAAAGAGCUAUUAUAGUUUUGUUAAACAAAAGAGUUCUUGGCAUCAUUUGUGCCUUUGUUCUUUUGUUAAACAGAUCUUAUGGUUUUACAAGUAUACAAUAGGCAAGUAUGUGUAAUUCACGGUAUCUUUUUGUACGAAAACUUGUAAAAGAAAUGCUGAAAUUCGGAAGAAACAAAUUGUUUGACAUAUCGGUGGCUCCAAACCUAACUCCAGAAGAAGGGAUGAAAUGGUAUUGAUUUAUUUUGAAUACUUUAAUUAAACUAGCAACUAUUCUUAGUUAGUUAAGUUAAUGCGACUUUAACUUUUUCAUUUAUAGAUGGCUGAGACUGGACAAAAGCCUGGACGAGGACAACUUUAUCUCGCUACACAUAGGAAUGAAGAUGGAUCAUAUGUUAAUGAGGCGGCCAAAGAGAUAUGUGUAAGUUUUUAAUUU
This 1462-nucleotide long non-coding RNA is filed under the name Nicotiana tabacum (common tobacco). RNAcentral's name for it is "long non-coding RNA (NTAB_LNC008104)". Lineage: Eukaryota; Viridiplantae; Streptophyta; Magnoliopsida; Solanales; Solanaceae. The record is from RNAcentral.